Molecule: long non-coding RNA, 923 nt
Filed under: Androctonus crassicauda
Lineage: Eukaryota; Metazoa; Arthropoda; Arachnida; Scorpiones; Buthidae
Source: RNAcentral
UAUUUAUUAAAAUAUAUAACAUAUAACUUUAUAUAUUUUUGAGUUGCAGUUUAAUUCAAACAACAUUCGAUAUUUCUUAAUAUUUUUUAAUUAUAUCACCUCUUGUUAAAUUUCUGACUGCGUCACAACUUGAUGGACACGCCGGACUUUUUUUGCAUAUUUUACGCCCCUUUCCAAUCGGGGAUUAUUAAGGGGCAGAGCCGGUUUCAACCACGGGCUGCAUCCUCACUCGUGGGAGCUGGAUGGGAAGGACGGGGAUCGCCGGACCGGGCCCAGCACCCCGAAUAAACUCUUCAGGAGUUACCAGACCCGAGACGCGAGCCAGGGUCCUCCUGCGUGGCACGCUGACAGCGUUACCACUCGGCCAUCUGGCCGCCCGAUUCGCCGGACUAUCGAGGACCAGUCUAAACCCCUCGGUUCAGACUAGGUCUGGAGCCGUAGAUGAUGCCAUUUAUGAUGUGUUAGCUAUAACACAAAUGAUUUCAUUAUUAUAUUACAAUUUAAUAAUUUGGCGGCCUAGACAUUGUUAAGUGCAUUUUUUAUUCAAUAAACACCGCCAUUUCCCAAGAUAUUGAUCACUGUAUAGAAAAUUUUGUUUCGGAAAAAAUAAAAUAAAAUGCAGAAUUUGCAUAGCUCUAUAUAUACACAAGGACCAAGAAUCUUGAUAUUUCAAUUAUGUUAAAAGAUUACAUUUAACAAUAUACAGUAUGUCAUAUUUUAUUUCAAACUGACACAAGAUAUUUAGUUACACAUUUUUUUGUUAAAAGAUGACGCCACUUCACCUCCUUCACGGAGUUAUAUUGGAGAUAUGCCUCCUUCACAGAGGUGUGUUUCCAAUGAGUUCUGGGCUGCGCCUGGAGUGGGGGGACCUGCGGGGCCCGCGACGGGUGGCGGCGCACCGGAGGGGCGGGGGCCUGGGCGGG